Equus caballus (horse) is the source of this 2008-nucleotide long non-coding RNA. Lineage: Eukaryota; Metazoa; Chordata; Mammalia; Perissodactyla; Equidae. The record is from Ensembl.
AUUCUACUAAGGAACUAAAUAGUGAUGGACAAAAGGAAUACAGAACAGUGUUGAAAGCCUGGCUGAGACGUGAUGCAGAAAAUGGCAAUAGCGGCCUUUGAUGUUACUAAUGAAUUUCUUAAGCAAUUAACUACAGCAAUGAGUAUAAAAAGAUGAAGCUGGAGAAAUUGAAUUGAGGUGUUUGCAUAGCAUGAAGAUUGGCAAGGCAAGGAGAGCACUGGUCAUGGAAGCAAAGGAUCAUGCCCCCGUCUUCCCUGCAGAUGUUUCACCACUCCUCCGUGAAGAAGAGGAAGAAGUCAAAAUCACAUGCGGAAAUUUCCCAGGUGCCACAGAUGAUGUGGCCAGAAGGAUGACCUCCUCUCGGGUCUCUGAAAAUCAAGGUAGUCAAGCCUUCUGCAGAGAAGCUCAGGACUGCCUGCUAUUAUCUCUCCUCCAAAAGAUAAUAAUUCCACAAACAGUUGUUGCACACCUACAAAAUACUGACUCUGCACCAAACACUGGGGAAUAUAAAGAUGAUUAAGAUACAGUUCUUGUCCUCAGGAGGCUGCUGGCUAGUGGGGGGACACAGGUGAUGAACACAACAACAGCGGCACUAGACACAGUGGCCAGCAGAGAAGGGAGUGGGGAACUUGAGGGUGGGCUGGGUCCUCCUUGAAGGGCAAGACGGGCUAUGAUAAUAGUAUUUAUUGAGCAUUUACUGUGUUCCAGGCACCGUUCUAAGUAUACAUGUAUUAACCAAUUAAAAACAUGCAUGAGGAGGCCAGCCCAGUGGCGUAGUGGGUAAGUUUGCGUGCUCCUCUUCGGUGGUCUGGGGUUCAUGGUUUCGGAUCCCAGGUGCAGACCUACAAACCAAUCACCAAGCCAUACUUGGGUUGCGCCCCACAUACAAAAAAUAGGGGAAGCUUGGCACAGAUGUAAGCUUAGUGACAAUUUUCCUCAAGCAAAAAGAGGAAGAUUGGCAACAGAUGUUAUCUCAGGGCCCAUCUUCCUCACCAAAAAAAAAAGAAAAGGAAGAUAGAAAGAAAGAAAAAAAGAAAAAAAAAAUUCCCCCCAACCGCCCAAAAUGCAUGAGACAAGUACUAGUAUUAUCCCCAGAUGAGUAAACUGAGAAUGUAAGUAAUUUGCUUAAGGUCACACAGCUAAGUCUGGAUUCAACACCUCAGUGCAUAGUCUUAAUGACUGCACAGUGCUGCAGGAAAGCAUUUCCAGGAAGCUGCUCCAGGGCUAAGAAUAUAAAAAAUAGGCAUGGAUUAGUAAUCUUUAACAUGUUUUGUAGGUGCUCUGGUAGAGUGUGGACUAGAGUCCCAGAUGUGAGACUAGAAUCUAGGAUUUCCCAAGAGGAAGUAUCCAGCGAUAGAGUCCCCAUAAGCAAAAUAUCCAGAAAGUUCCUAUUUCAGGUAACUGUGCUUCUAGAACCCUGUUUAGAAAUCCCUGUUCCCCUAAAGAUGGUGACUAGGGUUCAGGCAAGCUACCAGAGAUUUACACAUUAAAAUGCAAAUGAGGCUGGAUUCUAAGAGUUUAAAGAGCCAUGAUUUUAGUCCACCAGGCUUCCCAGAGCCAGAUCAUUGUCUUUAUCUUGCAAAUAGAGAGAUUUGAGAGUUUGAGAGCAGAAGAGCCCCAAACAGGACUUGGCAUGCUAGGGCUGGCCUGAGGCAGAGCUGGGAAGAAGCCAUUUUGCAGAAGGAAAAAUACCUAGAAAGGAUGAGCGUAUAUCUAAUCCAGAAUGAGCUUUCUGACAAUGGAAAGAUUUGGUAGGCUCAGGCAAGAGGAGUCUUGAUAAGGGCAAGCAGAAAUGAUUGAGAAAAAAUGGGAUUCCAGCAUGUAGGUGGCGAGGAAUGUGUCUUGGCAGCCUUCGAUUUCAACAGGGAGACCUGGGCUGGGAUGGGAAAGGGCCUUCUCCUCCAGGACCAAGGUGGAGCUAAAGGAACGACCUCAGCUUUGGCCAGGGGUGUAGAAGUCAGCUGUGCUGACCAGUGGGACAGUAGCCUUGUAGGUCGGGACUCCUGUG